This 588-nucleotide ribosomal RNA is filed under the name uncultured Burkholderia sp. RNAcentral describes it as "bacterial SSU rRNA". It matches the Rfam family "Bacterial small subunit ribosomal RNA", at positions 334 to 915 of the family's 1533-position model. Lineage: Bacteria; Pseudomonadati; Pseudomonadota; Betaproteobacteria; Burkholderiales; Burkholderiaceae. The record is from RNAcentral.
GACUCCUACGGGAGGCAGCAGUGGGGAAUUUUGGACAAUGGGGGCAACCCUGAUCCAGCAAUGCCGCGUGUGUGAAGAAGGCCUUCGGGUUGUAAAGCACUUUUGUCCGGAAAGAAAACCGCUUCUCUAAUACAGGGGCGGGAUGACGGUACCGGAAGAAUAAGCACCGGCUAACUACGUGCCAGCAGCCGCGGUAAUACGUAGGGUGCAAGCGUUAAUCGGAAUUACUGGGCGUAAAGCGUGCGCAGGCGGUUCGCUAAGACCGAUGUGAAAUCCCCGGGCUUAACCUGGGAACUGCAUUGGUGACUGGCGGGCUAGAGUAUGGCAGAGGGGGGUAGAAUUCCACGUGUAGCAGUGAAAUGCGUAGAGAUGUGGAGGAAUACCGAUGGCGAAGGCAGCCCCCUGGGCCAAUACUGACGCUCAUGCACGAAAGCGUGGGGAGCAAACAGGAUUAGAUACCCUGGUAGUCCACGCCCUAAACGAUGUCAACUAGUUGUCGGGUCUUCAUUGACUUGGUAACGAAGCUAACGCGUGAAGUUGACCGCCUGGGGAGUACGGUCGCAAGAUUAAAACUUAAAGGAAUUGACG